RNAcentral lists this ribosomal RNA (119 nucleotides) under Pteropus alecto (black flying fox). The record is from RNAcentral. Lineage: Eukaryota; Metazoa; Chordata; Mammalia; Chiroptera; Pteropodidae.
AUCUAUGGCCAUGCCGCCCUGAACAAGUCCGAUCCCGUCUGAUCUCAGAAGCUAAGCAGGGUCAGGCCUGUUUAGUACUUGAAUGGGAGACCAACUAGGAAGGCUGGGUGCUGUAGGCA